GCUUUCCUUCAGCUCAGUCAGCAGAACAUUGCACUUGCAAAGCAAAGAUCAUUGGUUCAAAUCCCCAGGGAAAGCA
Molecule: non-coding RNA, 76 nt
Organism: Danionella cerebrum
Lineage: Eukaryota; Metazoa; Chordata; Actinopteri; Cypriniformes; Danionidae
Source: the annotation of a GenBank genome assembly